CCUACGGGAGGCAGCAGUGGGGAAUAUUGCACAAUGGGGGAAACCCUGAUGCAGCGACGCCGCGUGAGUGAAGACGUAAUUCGUGAUGUAAAGCUCUAUCAUCAGGGAAGAAAAUGACGGUACCUGAGGAAGAAGCCCCGGCUAACUACGUGCCAGCAGCCGCGGUAAUACGUAGGGGGCAAGCGUUAGCCGGAUUUACUGGGUGUAAAGGGAGCGUAGACGGACGUUUAAGUCUGGUGUGAAAGACGCGGGCUCAACCCGCGGACUGCUUUGGAAACUGUACGGCGGGAGUGCAGGAGAGGAAAAUGGAAUUCCUAGUGUAGCGGUGAAAUGCGGAGAUAUUAGGAGGAACACCAGUGGCGAAGGCGAUUUACUGGACUGUAACUGACGUUGAGGCUCGAAAGCGUGGGGAGCAAACAGGAUUAGAUACCCGUGUAGUC
Molecule: ribosomal RNA, 440 nt
Filed under: uncultured bacterium
Lineage: Bacteria
Description: partial 16S ribosomal RNA
Rfam family: Bacterial small subunit ribosomal RNA
Source: RNAcentral